Molecule: long non-coding RNA, 668 nt
Filed under: Marmota monax (woodchuck)
Lineage: Eukaryota; Metazoa; Chordata; Mammalia; Rodentia; Sciuridae
Source: RNAcentral
GACAUAAAACUUGAUUUUUUUUUUAGUUUCAUUUUAUUUAUUCAUUUUAGGUGGACACAUUAUUUUGUUUUUAUGUGGUGCUGAGGAUUGAACCUAGUGCCUCAUGCAUGCUGGGCGAGCACUCUACCACUGAACCACAACCCCGGCACCCUAAAACUUGAUUUUAUGCCUGAGACUGUACACCAGUGGGGUUGCAUCUGGGUUGAAAACCAGAAAUUGAACUGGAAGAUUCAUGUGUAUAAUUUCAUCCCUAAAUAGGUGCUUCUGUUCUUUUGUCUGUUUUAAUGUCGUAUGAAUGGAAAGGCUGAUAAUUUGUGUUAUUGCUUUACCUUGGGAAAAUUUAUAUAUUGUAUUUUAUUUAGAAUACCAACAAAGAAAAAACUAUUUUGGGGUCUGUCCUUCCUUCCUUUCUUUCUCUUUUCAGUACUAGGAAUUGAACCCAGGGCUUCAUGCAUGUAAGACUCUACCACUGAGCAAUACUUCCAGCUGUUUUAUUUUGAGACAGGAUUUCACUAAAUUGCCCAGAAUGACCUCACACUUGGAAUCCUCCUGCCUUAGCUUCCUGAGUAGUUAAGGUUACAGGUGUAUACCACUGAACCCAGCUCAAAACUCUAAAAGAAUAGUAUGAUUCUUACAUGCCUUUUUAAUUUAUGGUGAAUAUAUUGAUU